This 72-nucleotide transfer RNA is filed under the name Bos taurus (domestic cattle). It matches the Rfam family "tRNA". Rfam says of the family: Transfer RNA (tRNA) molecules are approximately 80 nucleotides in length. The record is from Rfam by way of RNAcentral. RNAcentral also lists the same sequence under 5 other names. Lineage: Eukaryota; Metazoa; Chordata; Mammalia; Artiodactyla; Bovidae.
UCCCUGGUGGCUCAGAUGGUAAAGAAUCCACCUGCAAUGUGGGAGACCUAGGUUCAAUCCCUGGGCUGGGAA